Molecule: ribosomal RNA, 1423 nt
Filed under: Pecten albicans
Lineage: Eukaryota; Metazoa; Mollusca; Bivalvia; Pectinida; Pectinidae
Description: 16S ribosomal RNA
Rfam family: Bacterial large subunit ribosomal RNA
Source: RNAcentral
UUAGGUAAAUCAUUUUUUAUUGUCUUAGUAGAGGAGAUAGAAUUAGACGUUAAGGCGGCGAUAGAUAAUAGAUAGUAGCGUGAGUGAAGGUUAAUAAAUUAAACAGUGAAGUAUCGGUGGUGAGCACUCGUACCUUUUGCAUCAUGGCUUAUACUACUUUUUAUGCUGAGGAAGUAUCCCGAAAGUUUUGUGAUCUACUUUCUUACUUUACAGGUUGGCGUUAUAUUUGCUAUCUGGAGAUGGGGAGAUAGUGGCGAAAUACUUUUCGCACUGGUUGAUAGCUGGUUAUUCCGGAAAUAUAUCUAAGUAUAGCUCUUCGGUUGAUGGGGUUUACAGUUUAAUAAUUCUAAUAGUAUUUAGGGUGUUCUAUCGAAGGAGUCAGCCCCCUCAGGCUAAGCUGAGGGGGCUAUUUUAAAGGAUGGUUAACUAAGAAUGGAAAGGCUAAGAAGUGGGCUUGAAGGAGCUAUCUUUACAGAGUGGGUUAAACCACAAAUGGGCCUUGUACAAUAAAUCAAAUUUUACCUAUCUUUGUGUUGUACGGAAUCUCUUUUUGAAACAAUAGUCAUAGAGGUGAUAAUGUAAAGAUGAGUAGUCGAGAAGUUGUAAGUGUUUUAAGGUCGGGGAGAGAAACGUAAAGGUAUGUUCCGUAUCUUUAAAAAAAGCUAAAGGAACUCGGCAAAUAAGGGGACCGCCUGUUUAUCAAAAACAUGGCUCCUUGAGCAAUAUUGGGGGUCGUGCCUUCCCGGUGAGCUUGCGGGCUUAAACGGACGCGGUAAAGCGUGCUAAGGUAGCUAAAUUAUGGCCUAUUAAUUGUAGGUCCUGUGAAUGGUUUGACGAGUUUCCAACUGUCUCUAGUUUUUUUUGGUGAACUUGAAUUGGAUGUGCAAAUGCUUCCAUGGGUAAGAAAGACGAGAAGACCCCGUGAAGUUAGAAAUUUAAGUUAUUGGGAAGUUCCAAGGCCUAUUUGUGGUCGAAUCGUUGAGAGGCAUUAAUUGUUUAGUGUUUCAGAAGGGGUGAAUAAUAGCAGUUUUGGCUGGGGCAGCAAAGGAGCAAAGCUAGACUCCUUUAGGGUACAAAACAGAUGUGUUACGACCCACAAACAUUAAGGUGUGAUUAUCAGAAGAAGUUACUCCGGGGAUAACAGCGUAAUCUGUCUUGAUAGUUCUUAUAGAUGGGCGGGUUUGCGACCUCGAUGUUGGCUCUGGAUAUCCUAAGGCUUGCAGGCGGUCUUGAGGGUUGGUUCGUUCGCCCAUAAAAAUCUGACGUGAGCUGAGUUCAGAUCGGUGAAAGCUAGGUCGGUUUCUAUCUUCUUUCUUUUAAAUUAGGGCUUUAGGGUACGAAAGGACAUUUAGCUCCAGGUGAUGGUCUGUAGUGUGUGAUUUUAUAAUAAUUUUAGUAUAAAAAAGUUUAUCUAUAAGUGGUU